UGUGCCAAAAAGUUGCCAUGACCGUCAUUAAACCUGUUUAACACCAAAUAAUCAGUAAAAUAAAAUAAAAAAUUCGGGCUUGGUGCAGAAACUCACCCCAAAUAAAUCACCUACCAAAAUAUUUACAUAAUGGUGGAAAUAUUCCAAAAUUCAAUAUUUUGGGAUUUAUACACAAAAGAUAAACAAAUUAGAGGCCAAGAGGCUGCCGGAAGGGAAAAACGGGGCCUGGGAAGGCCGUUGUGAGGAAUGAGCUGGGCCUAAAGAGGCCGCUGGCAGGCGGGAGCUGGGCCUGCCGAAGCGGCCGAGAGGCAGGAGCUUUGGACUCGGGAGGCCGCAAUGAGGCAAGGGCUAGCUGGGCAUGGAGAGUCCGCUGUGAGUCCGCUGUGAGUCCAGGCCCAUGCAGGCCUUCGAGAGGCAGGAGGCCGGGCCUGCAAAGGCCCACUGGAGGUCAAGUUCUGGGCCUGAAGAGGCCACCAAAAGUCAAAAGCGGGGCCUGGGAAGGCCGCCAAGAGCCAUGAGCUGGUCUGGGCUGAAAGAGGCCACUGGGAGGCAGGAGGAGCUGGGCCUGGAGAGGCUGACUCGAGGAAGUUUUGCACCUGGAGAGGCCGCCGAGAGGACGGAGCUGGGCCCGGGAAGGCCGACUUGCUGCUCUUCCAGGCCCAAUUCCAGGCCGACUUGACGACGACUUGGGCCUGCAGAGCUGUUUCUCUUGGCUGCAUCUCCCACCUCCCAGGAAACAAGCUUUUUUGGCUCAGUUCCCACCUGCGUUUGUAGACACCGAAGUUUCGGCAACCAAGCUCUUCAGACCCACAUCCCGCCUCCCAGUACCUGAACAGUCCCAGCUCCGGCUGGAGAACAGAGUCUGUAGGCCCCGCUGUUGCCUCAGAGGGGUGUCUCCAGGCCCAGCUCUCGCCCCACCGCGACCUCCCAGGCCCAAGUCCCUGCC
This 946-nucleotide long non-coding RNA is filed under the name Pan troglodytes (chimpanzee). Its description in RNAcentral is "long non-coding RNA NONPTRT016498". The record is from RNAcentral. Lineage: Eukaryota; Metazoa; Chordata; Mammalia; Primates; Hominidae.